RNAcentral lists this ribosomal RNA (478 nucleotides) under uncultured bacterium. Its description in RNAcentral is "partial 16S ribosomal RNA". It matches the Rfam family "Bacterial small subunit ribosomal RNA", at positions 28 to 523 of the family's 1533-position model. The record is from RNAcentral.
GACGAACGCUGGCGGCGUGCUUAACACAUGCAAGUCGAACGGUAAGGCCCUUCGGGGUACACGAGUGGCGAACGGGUGAGUAACACGUGGGUGAUCUGCCCUGCACUUCGGGAUAAGCCUGGGAAACUGGGUCUAAUACCGGAUAGGACCACUGCCUGCAUGGGUGGUGGUGGAAAGCUUUUGCGGUGUGGGAUGGGCCCGCGGCCUAUCAGCUCGUUGGGUGGGUGCUGGCCUACCAAGGCGACGACGGGUAGCCGGCCUGAGAGGGUGACCGGCCACACUGGGACUGAGAUACGGCCCAGACUCCUACGGGAGGCAGCAGUGGGGAAUAUUGCACAAUGGGCGCAAGCCUGAUGCAGCGACGCCGCGUGAGGGAUGACGGCCUUCGGGUUGUAAACCUCUUUCAGCACCGACGAAGCGCAAGUGACGGUAGGUGCAGAAGAAGGACCGGCCAACUACGUGCCAGCAGCCGCGGUAA